GACGAACGCUGGCGGCGUGCCUAAUACAUGCAAGUCGAGCGGACUUUCAAGAAGCUUGCUUUUUGAAAGUUAGCGGCGGACGGGUGAGUAACACGUGGGCAACCUGCCUGCAAGGCGGGGAUAACUCCGGGAAACCGGGGCUAAUACCGGAUAAUAUCUUCCUUCGCAUGAAGGAAGGUUGAAAGGCGGCGCAAGCUGCCGCUUGCAGAUGGGCCCGCGGCGCAUUAGCUAGUUGGUGAGGUAACGGCUCACCAAGGCGACGAUGCGUAGCCGACCUGAGAGGGUGAUCGGCCACACUGGGACUGAGACACGGCCCAGACUCCUACGGGAGGCAGCAGUAGGGAAUCUUCCGCAAUAGACGAAAGUCUGACGGAGCAACGCCGCGUGAGCGAAGAAGGUCUUCGGAUCGUAAAGCUCUGUUGUCAGGGAAGAACAAGUACCGUUCGAACAGGGCGGUACCUUGACGGUACCUGACCAGAAAGCCACGGCUAACUACGUG
This 499-nucleotide ribosomal RNA is filed under the name uncultured bacterium. RNAcentral describes it as "partial 16S ribosomal RNA". It matches the Rfam family "Bacterial small subunit ribosomal RNA", at positions 28 to 507 of the family's 1533-position model. The record is from RNAcentral.